UGAGAACAGAAAGUUAGCCAAGCUGCACUAGAGGUCAUCUCCUACCUGAGUACUCUGCACAUGCCUAUCUCCGAUAUCAAACUGAGAUAUCUGAAGCAUAGUUUGCCUGCUGGCUCAUACAUGAUGGUCCAGCCCCACCCCACAGCUCUAUGUACAAGUGGCAGGUUAUGAUGAAAUAAAAGUAGAUGUUAUCUGUAAUGAGGAAGAUGUUCUCCAAACUUGAAGAAAAGCCAAGCUAGAAAAGCAAGAUCUCCUGUCUCUGCGGCCAGCUUGGAUUCUCUGGGCCCAAGCCCCAGCUGCUCUCUGUUGAAGCCAACAGUGCUACGACAGCCACGGACCUGCGUCCACCCCCACCUCCUGCUCUGUCUGCAGCGGAGUCUGGAGUUACAGCCUCGAGGCAAUAAAAUCUGGAGACGGGUUAAAAAAUCCCUGGUCUUUAGGGAGCAUUCUUGCAGGCCUAAUGAAUCCUCCUGAAGCCCAAAUCUCAUGGCAGAAGUUGAAGAUUAGAAAUACUCUGGAGGGACGCAAAUAUUGUGAUGAGAGAAGAGGAGGCUCACAUAAGUACCUAGGCAGAUGGAUGCUUAGCAAAGGAAGGAAACUAUCCCUGCAGGACAGAGCCUCAAAUAAAUGCUCAUUCCAGCUCAGUUACUGGAAGGCAGACAGGAGGGAAGGAGAAGGGCCAGUCUUUUCCUUGCUGCUUCUACAAAUGAGGUGCUGGCCUAGGAGUAGCUCCACAUCCUGUCCCCGUUCCUCCUGCCACCCCAAGAGCAACAAUACAAUUCAACUGGUAAUAAUUCAAAAGUAGACUCUUGAAUAAGGACUUUCUGAAAGCAUCUGACCCCUUUUUUUAGGGGGGGAAGUUACGAAGGAAGAAAGCAAAACCUCGGCUCUGUUUCCUGCUGUUAUGCUGUUUAUUUCACAAUAUUUCCACUGUUAGUGAGCAAACCCUUUGCCUACGAACCAUCACCCUGAAAAGAUGGGUAACCUUGUCUCCAGUUCCUGAGGAGCCUCAUCUCUUCUUACUGAAGCUGUCUAACAAAACUCCCACACAAUGCCCAGUGAGGCAGUUUUAACGCCCCCCAAAUGACUCUGUUGCAUUUUUCCACCUCUGAAGGAAGCGAUAUAAAUAAUCCUCUGCGAAUGCAUUUUCCCAGAGGUAAAGGGAUCAUACUUGAGUUUCACUGAGGAGCACAGUAGAAGAACGCAGAGAACACACAUAAGCCUGUUUCUGCAGGAUCUUGCACUACACGCCUAGCUUGAUGCAAGAGGAAGCUGUUGCACUGAAGUCAGAGAAAUGAUUAGCAGUAGUAAGUUAAGUGCACACAUAAAUUUGUAGGAUCAGGCCCAGCAGAGGGAAGGUCAUGUGAAAAAAAAGGGAAGGGUUUUGUGUGAAAAUUUGAUAGCAUUUUAAAAUAAUCGUCAUGUCACAGGUUUCAUAUAGGCACCACCCCCUUCACAUAUUUCAAAUUUUUCCAUUAAAAUUAUUGACAGUUCAGGGGCACACCAUUUUCAGGGUGUUUGCUUUUUUAAUUUGCUUCCCGCUUUUAUUUUCUUUCCUUUUUCCUGUCUGUUCACUAAGACAGCAUUCAUUUUCAGCUUUCAAAAAAAAAGGUAGGAGGAAUCAAAGAAAGGUAGGCGGAAGCAUUAUUUCAAGGAACAUUUAAUUGUUGAAAAAGACACCUGCUUCCCAGUAAAAUGAUUUCCACACAGAGAAGCGCAGCCAGAUAAAGUGCAGAGGCACUGGCUGAAGUUACAAAGACAUGAGGUGGUUCUCUUAGCAGAACUGAAUAAUGCUUUCAAGCCAGGUAUGUAGCAGGUUUAACUGAUGGACUAGGAAUUGUAUACUCAGCUAGCCUAGCUGUGUAAACAUCCUAUUUUUGUUCCUUCUUGUUUAUGGUAACAACCUGGAUGUUUCCAGCGGGGUUAGUUGCAGCAAUUCAUCUUCAAGUCCAGCCAACAAAAAAGGUAACUUCUAUAAUGUGGAUUUUUUUAAACUGAUUAUAUGAAACUGUAGCAGCUAGAGGAAAGGGAUUCUAAUCUGGGCAAAGUCUCUGGAAACUACUUCCAUAACAAAUUACAUUUUUAUUGUUAUUUCCUGAUUGAGUAAUACAGCUGGAGCAAAGAAAACAUGCAUAAGCGAAGUGUAUCAGGCUAAGCUACGACACAACAAUCUUUGCAGUUUUCUGUUGGCUGCUAAUUCCUGUACCUUGAUCGGAUUCUCCUGGAAAUUGCCUGCUGUUUUCAUGUGGGAGGUAGGAGCGCGGGGCCAAUGUUAAUUUGGGCCGUUAUCUUCCCCUUUUACAGAUGUGGAUACAGAACUUUUUCUGUGUUUUGUACUGCACCUAGCACAGCAGGCUAUGGGUCCAUGACUAACACUUCUGUGGAGGUGCUGGCAGUAUAUGUUCUGGUGCAAGUAUUGUUUUUAAUAAUCCUUAACUGUGUUCCUUCAUUAAAACGCAAUGGAUUGGCUGCCUGAUCCUGAUCUCGCAGUUGCAAAAUGCCUAACAUGGCUGAAAACCACGACUAAAGUCUCCUUGGUUUUACCCACUGACUUUAAUGACGUUCUUGUCAAUUAAUAGUGGGGGUAACCUAAAGAACUGGUGCCUCAGAAACAUCAAAGGAGUUAAAAGUGACUUCAAAAAUGAACAAGUAGCGCUUUGUGUAAUGUCCUUCCUGAGCUUUAAUUUUCAUGGCGCUUGUUGGUUCAGCUAGUGCAAGGAUGAUUUGCUGGCCUGUUGUAACUGUGGGAACACAGGCUCCAGUGUAACACGGGCGCGCUGACUGCAGCACGUGGACAUUUCUCAUCAUGCCUUCGGAUAAAGUGGUAGAAAAUAAACAGUCAGGCACCAGCUCA
Molecule: long non-coding RNA, 2854 nt
Filed under: Struthio camelus australis
Lineage: Eukaryota; Metazoa; Chordata; Aves; Struthioniformes; Struthionidae
Description: lncRNA (ENSSCUG00000011475.1)
Source: RNAcentral